This 578-nucleotide ribosomal RNA is filed under the name uncultured fungus. RNAcentral's name for it is "eukaryotic LSU rRNA". The stretch from base 227 to 381 matches the Rfam family "5.8S ribosomal RNA". The record is from RNAcentral. Lineage: Eukaryota; Fungi.
AAGUCGUAACAAGGUUUCCGUAGGUGAACCUGCGGAAGGAUCAUUAAAGAGUAAGGGUCUUCGGGCCCGAUCUCCAACCCUUUGUUUAACUACCAUGUUGCUUUGGCGGGCCCGUCUCACGACCGCCGGAAGUUUGGCUUCGACCAAACUUCUGGCCCGUGCCCGUCAGUGGCCCCUUCAAAUUCUUGAUCAAGUAUGAUGUCUUAGUUAAAAACUUAAUAGUUAAAACUUUCAACAACGGAUCUCUUGGGUUCUGGCAUCGAUGAAGAACGCAGCGAAAUGCGAUAAGUAAUGCGAAUUGCAGAAUUCAGUGAGUCAUCGAAUCUUUGAACGCACAUUGCGCCCUUUGGUAUUCCGAAGGGCAUGCCUGUUCGAGCGUCAUUAUCAACCCUCAAGCCUGGCUUGCUGUUGGACCUCUCGUCGUUGAAGACGGGUCCUAAAGUUAAUGGCGGAGUCGUCUGGACCCUAGAUGCAACGAGCUCUCGUAGCACGCAUUUAAGGGGCUGGCGGCUCCAGUCUCAACCCAUAUCAUUUACAAGGUUGACCUCGGAUCAGGUAGGAAUACCCGCUGAACUUAA